This is a transfer RNA of Operophtera brumata (winter moth), 72 nucleotides long. It matches the Rfam family "tRNA". Rfam says of the family: Transfer RNA (tRNA) molecules are approximately 80 nucleotides in length. Their secondary structure includes four short double-helical elements and three loops (D, anti-codon, and T loops). Further hydrogen bonds mediate the characteristic L-shaped molecular structure. tRNAs have two regions of fundamental functional importance: the anti-codon, which is responsible for specific mRNA codon recognition, and the 3' end, to which the tRNAs corresponding amino acid is attached (by aminoacyl-tRNA synthetases). tRNAs cope with the degeneracy of the genetic code in two manners: having more than one tRNA (with a specific anti-codon) for a particular amino acid; and 'wobble' base-pairing, i.e. permitting non-standard base-pairing at the 3rd anti-codon position. The record is from Rfam. Lineage: Eukaryota; Metazoa; Arthropoda; Insecta; Lepidoptera; Geometridae.
GGGGGUGUAACUCAGUGGUAGAGUGUUUGCUUCGCAUGCUGAAAGUCCUGGGUUCAAAUCCCAGCAACUCCA